GUCAAUGAGUUGCCAGUCUGCACCCAGUUCCAGCGAUGGGUCCCCCGUAAUCUCUUUCUGACUAGUUGACCAACCCGUUUAUCAUCCCUAGUAUGAGAACUGAAGCUGCUGCUGUGGCCACUGUUUCUGUCACUGGAUGAGUGUGCUCUGGAAAGGCCUCAACUCCAGCGUCACAGACCUUUCAUGUGGACCUCCUAAGUUUUCUUAGGCCAGAAAAAUGUCUCACCCUGACCUUGUGUUCACUCUGCUGCUCCAAAAUUUUAUUUGAGGCAUUAUUUUAAAGUUGUUGAGGGGAAUGUUAAUAGAGUUCAGCCGGGUUGCUGCCUCUAAUCUACCAUCUUGGUUCCACCCCCACCUCCAAGUGUUUUAUUUUAUAAAUAUUGUCUCAGUUGAUCUUCACAGCUCUGCAAGGUUGGAUUGCCCAGGAUUAGUUCACAAAACCAAUGGCUAUGCAUCAGGAAAGGGAGGGGACCUAAACAGGGUGAAAAGAAGACUGCAGACCAGGAAAAGCCAACCUGAACACACACCGGAUUUCUAGGGGCCUGAUAAUUAUAGGAAAUGCACCACCAAUUGGACCCAAGGGCACACCAGAUGGAGGAAGGUCACUGUGAUCGGAUGUUGAUGCUUAAAAUGCUGUCUUCAGGAACUGGUGGCUCUGGGAAUUAUAUAACUGCUGCCAGCUGUUGUGUGGAUUCAAACUAAAUUUGGCUAAUAAGAAUAUGGUUUUAUGAAUUAGAAAAAGUUUUAGCUUGCCUCUUAUUUGUUCUGAUGGAUAGCUGGAAUUGCCUCAAAAACUUCUUGGGAUUCAUCCUGAUUCAAGGUUUUUUUGUUUUUCCUACAGAGAUUCAUUACAAGAAGAAUAACAGAAUACCAAUUAUGUUUCCUACUGUAUCACUUCUGUACAUAGCGGCAACUCUUUCUAACGUUGUGUCUUCAUGUGACUGGGGGUUCUCCCUACCUAUCGCUACCUGUACUGUUCCAUUCCAAACAGAGCCUAGGAAAGUCUGAGUCUGCAGUUUUAACUUUUAUUUAAUUUAAUUUUAUAUUCCUGUGUUUUUCAUUGAAGAAAGAGAAUACUGUUACUGAGUGUGCUGGUAAACAUUUAAUAAUGACUUCUUUGAAAAAAAAGUACACUUGACACACUUUUAAGUUUGAUGUGCGUCAUUAACAUUUUC
This 1175-nucleotide long non-coding RNA is filed under the name Phascolarctos cinereus (koala). RNAcentral describes it as "lncRNA (ENSPCIG00000025878.2)". Lineage: Eukaryota; Metazoa; Chordata; Mammalia; Diprotodontia; Phascolarctidae. The record is from RNAcentral.